CCUACUUGACUAAGGCUCCGGAGGAAGCCACGGCUAACUCUGUGCCAGCAGCCGCGGUAAUACAGAGGCGGCAAGCGUUGUUCGGAAUUAUUGGGCGUAAAGAGCACGUAGGCGGUCUUGUAAGUCAGUUGUGAAAGCCUUCUGCUUAACGGAAGAACAGCAGCUGAUACUGCAAGGCUAGAGUGCGGAAGGGGAGAGUGGAACUUCUGGU
Molecule: ribosomal RNA, 211 nt
Filed under: uncultured Planctomycetota bacterium
Lineage: Bacteria; Pseudomonadati; Planctomycetota
Description: uncultured planctomycete partial 16S ribosomal RNA
Rfam family: Bacterial small subunit ribosomal RNA
Source: RNAcentral